ACCCCCUCAGGGUCGCACCUGGGGACUUUCCAAUACUCUACCGGUUUCGGCUACGGGAGGGAGAGUCAGUCAGAGGCCUACCCAUUCCAUUCCUAGCUUGGGCAGUGGCUAGCGAGUGGAAGGCCAUCUGCUGCAAGU
Molecule: small nucleolar RNA, 138 nt
Organism: Ornithorhynchus anatinus (platypus)
Lineage: Eukaryota; Metazoa; Chordata; Mammalia; Monotremata; Ornithorhynchidae
Source: RefSeq, a predicted model, not a curated record